This 974-nucleotide ribosomal RNA is filed under the name Salmonella enterica subsp. enterica serovar Dublin. Its description in RNAcentral is "partial 23S ribosomal RNA". It matches the Rfam family "Bacterial large subunit ribosomal RNA", at positions 347 to 1226 of the family's 2925-position model. The record is from RNAcentral. Lineage: Bacteria; Pseudomonadati; Pseudomonadota; Gammaproteobacteria; Enterobacterales; Enterobacteriaceae.
AAGGCGCGCGAUACAGGGUGACAGCCCCGUACACAAAAGCGUAUGUGCUGUGAGCUCGAUGAGUAGGGCGGGACACGUGGUAUCCUGUCUGAAUAUGGGGGGACCAUCCUCCAAGGCUAAAUACUCCUGACUGACCGAUAGUGAACCAGUACCGUGAGGGAAAGGCGAAAAGAACCCCGGCGAGGGGAGUGAAAAAGAACCUGAAACCGUGUACGUACAAGCAGUGGGAGCCCCACCACUAAGCCAGUGGUGAACUCCACAUACGCAUCCUUUGCUGAGGAUACGGUUAACGGAGCGAAAGCGACGUUCAACCGCAAAAGAAGCAGAGGGGGCUUAGUGGUGGGGUGACUGCGUACCUUUUGUAUAAUGGGUCAGCGACUUAUAUUCUGUAGCAAGGUUAACCGAAUAGGGGAGCCGGAGGGAAACCGAGUCUUAACCGGGCGUUAAGUUGCAGGGUAUAGACCCGAAACCCGGUGAUCUAGCCAUGGGCAGGUUGAAGGUUGGGUAACACUAACUGGAGGACCGAACCGACUAAUGUUGAAAAAUUAGCGGAUGACCUGUGGCUGGGGGUGAAAGGCCAAUCAAACCGGGAGAUAGCUGGUUCUCCCCGAAAGCUAUUUAGGUAGCGCCUCGUGAAUUCAUCUCCGGGGGUAGAGCACUGUUUCGGCUAGGGGGCCAUCCCGGCUUACCAACCCGAUGCAAACUGCGAAUACCGGAGAAUGUUAUCACGGGAGACACACGGCGGGUGCUAACGUCCGUCGUGAAGAGGGAAACAACCCAGACCGCCAGCUAAGGUCCCAAAGUCAUGGUUAAGUGGGAAACGAUGUGGGAAGGCCCAGACAGCCAGGAUGUUGGCUUAGAAGCAGCCAUCAUUUAAAGAAAGCGUAAUAGCUCACUGGUCGAGUCGGCCUGCGCGGAAGAUGUAACGGGGCUAAACCAUGCACCGAAGCUGCGGCAGCGAACGUAUCACUUAA